UUUUUAUUUUAUUUCAUUUAUUUAUUUAUCCUGAUUAGAAUUCUGAACAGUUGUUUAGUUUUACUUUUAAGUUUAAUUGAAGCCGAUUACUCCUGCAGCUCUCCUAUUGGAGGAGACAUGUCAUGUGAGACCUGCAGGUUUUUCUUGAGUAAUUAGUGCAGCUGUGGGUCUUUGAGAGUACGAUAGUUUUUGACCGUUUUUACAUCUCGAUUUUGUCAUUAUUAGUAGUAAAAAGUACCGUUUUCUUAUGCAAAGUAAACCUCCAAGUAAAUUGAAGACAGGAAAGAUCGACGACUUUGGCGUUUUGUUUUGGAAACACGCGUCGACUUCAGGCUCUGUAGAGUCACCUGAGAGGGUCUUCGAACAUUAGACGGAGCUGCACCCACACUAGGGUUGACUUGAUGUAGUGAUCCCAAAUAUGAAACAUGGAUCAUCCUACCCCACCCUCCCCUACUGUAGUUUUUCAGAUUAAACCCCUCCCUCUGAAUUUGUCUGCAUUAGUUUGACCUCCUCAGUCAGAACCAUCUGGACCCGCCCCAGAACUCAGCGAUCAUUCUGGAUAUGUCGCUCCGAUCUGUCGCCCAAAACUUCCUGCAGCAUUAAAACACCCUGAGAGCUCUAAAGGUCAAAGGUCAUCCCGUACAGUAACUCAGAGGAGGUCCGUGACUCAGUCCUGAGUCUUGGAUCAGCCUCAGAUCCUGUUUCCGGACUCCUUCGUCAGUCUUCAGACCUCAGUCUUUCCGUGGUCCUCCUCCGUACAUCAGGCUGUGCAGCAGCAGCAGCAGCAUCCUGGUCCACUUCGUCAUGAGAGCGACUGCGUCUAUAAAUAACCGAGAGACGACGUCAGAGCGAAGACCGGAGCAGGAGAGAGUCUGUAAAUAACACAGAUAAUUGAUUUACAGACCAACAAACUUUCUGUCAUCACCACCAAACUUUCAGAGUCACUUCAGGUCACAGCGGCGAGGAGCGUCAAUCCAACACACAGCUUCCUGUUUACUAUAAAUAUCCCCGAGGUGGAGACGGUCGGUGGUCGUGAGGGGGAGACUGAGGACUGAGACUGAGUCGUCUCUACAGUCACCGUUUCAGUUCCUCAAAACUCGACCUGAAAAACUAAAGUUUAACGCCGUUCAGAAACUAAAACUCAGAUCUGAUUUCUUCAUCGACCUUUAAUCAGAGCCGAGGGUCUUUAAUCUGACGGACCCUGAACCUGACAGACGAGGAGCAGGUUUAAAACUCAUCCAGAAAAAUCUAAAAUCAGAAUCCAGACUUUAUUUAACAUGUUUUUACUUUAAUCUCAGAUUCAGAGAAAAGUCAGAAUUCUGACUGAAAUCACAGAUUAGGAGUCAAAAUUCAGAUUUUAAUCUGGAUUAUAGGGAGAAAAGUCUAAAUCUUUGUUUUGAUCUCAGAAUUAUAACAAAAAAAAUCAGAAUUCAGAAUUUUGUGAGGACUGGUCCCCAGUCCUCCAGUUUUGCUCCUCUUUGCCCUCCCCUCUCGGGCUGUCUUUCCCCCUUUUUCCACUUCGCCUGAGCGGCGCUGUAGGCUGCUCAGGGUCCCUCUCUUCACUUCCUGCAUGGGUGGCACCGCGGGAGCUGAUCACCUGCUGGAGACCUCACCUGCUGCUAAUUCCGGUCUGAUUACCUGCCUACAAGAGCCCAGGGAGGAAUCUUCUCAGUGCUGGCUGAUUGCCUGACUAAGUGGUUCGUUCACUACGUUUGUGCUGGCCUUAAGCCUCUUCUCCCCUCACGGAGAUUAUCUUGUGCUUCACUUCUUGAUGAUUGUGGUGGAUUCAUGCCCGUUUUUACCCCUGGACUAACUCCUUCUCUCUUUCUCGUUUUUUCCAGGUCUCCACGAGCUCCCGCCACCACCACCAUCAUUGCCUUGUUCACUUUUUACUCACAUGUAAAUAAAAAUCACUGUUUGUUGAAAUCCUGAUCUGAUUCAGCCUCUGCUCUGGGUCCACUUAUGCACAACACCUAACAAAUUUGAUCAUAAAGUUUUAUGAAAUAGUCAAUAUUUGACUUUAUCAUCUACAAACUGAUUUUAAUCUGGAAAAAAAUUCUGAGUAAAGUCUCAAAACUUCGAGUGUAAUCUCAUAAUCUGAUGAUGAAUCAGAAUAAAAACUUUAGACUAAGAAUUCAGACUUUAAUCUGAGAUUUUGGAGUAAAAAGUUUGGCUUUAAUUUAGAAUUAAAUUUUUUAUCUCCAAUAACCAGGAAAAAAAUCUAAACUGUAAAGUUUAUCUUCAAAUUCUGAGAAAUAAAAGACAAUUUUAAUGUUUACAUCAAUAUUCCGAUUUAUUUUAGAAGUUUGAUCCACGAGAAAAGGUCAGGAUCUAGACUUAAAUAUUCUGAGAGAGGAAAUCUGAAUUAAGAUUUUACUCUAAAGGAUUCAACUUUUAAUUUUCAGUUUCAAAGACAGAAAAUCAGAAAAAUUCAAAGUAAAAGGACAAAAUUCAGACUUUAAUCUCACAGGUUCAAAACAGAACUAACUUUAGUCUGAAAGUUACUGAUUUAAUUUAGAUUUUGUGAGUUAGAAUUCUGACUUAAAUCUUAUAAACCAAAGUUAAGUCAUUUAUUUAUAGAAUUCUGGUUUUAAUCCUAAAAAAAUCUGGAUUUCUUCUCUUCUAAGCCCCUCCCCCUCACUGGGCGCUCUCAGGGGUCGGUUUUCUCUACAGGAUGAUCUUAACGGUAGAAACAUGACAGUAAAUUACUGUUUUCUGUCAAUUUCAACAGUUAUAAUGAUUUUAAAAUGUCUUUCUGAUUUUAGAUGGUUUUUAUCUCUUUUAGUAUUUUUUCUGAACUGCCUUGUCUAUGAUCCUGAUCCUUCUGUAAAGAUUAUUAAACUGAAGUUAUUUUAUCAUAUUUCUCAGUUUUUGUCAUUUUAACCUUCAGUCUGAUUUCACUCAAAGCUCUUCAGCAGGACUUUAGUUGAACAUGUGAACUUUGGAUCCCGCUCCCGUCUGAAUCUGUGUCCCGGCUCGUUGGUCCACAGUCAGACCGCGGACUGACGCACAGACAGUCAUGUGUCACUAAUAACCUUCAGGACCAAACUGACCUCAUGUCAGUGGAGGGAACAGAGGCCAACUGUUAAACUCGGAGGGGGUUUCUCACCCUCACCGUCACUCCGUCCGGACAAUCCCAGACGACAAACGCACAUGGAUGUCCUUCCUCACCCACGUGUGCCAAACGCCGUUUCAUCCUCUCGGAGCGAGCGCCGUGAGGGGCUGAACUAGACCUUCACCCCUGUUGGAGGUCUGGAUCUAUAUUUACAGCAGAAAUCUGAUUACCAGCCUGAGGAGGACUUUGAGGGACUUUCUGAGCCGUAGACUUGAACCUUUGUUUGGAUCAGGGUUCAUGAAUUCACAGAAUCGACUCUUCUGACCCCUGAACACGGAGAGAUUCAGAGAGAAAGGGUGGAAAUCUUUUCAGGUUUGGUCGGAAAUACAUGAACUCUAUUCAGCUCUCAGAACUUUGAGAUCUUCACACAGAGCGGCUGUCAGACCUCCAAACUGUUCGACUGUGAAAAAACACAAAUAUGAGGCAGACGAUCAAACUGAAGAAAUGAAGAUCUGUAAAUGUAAGAACUGCUGUCAUGAGAUUUCUCAUGUACUCAGGUGAAACAGAGCGGAGGUGUGCUCUACCUGCUCCAGGCUUUAACAGGCCUGUAUGCACACAGAGGGGCAGGCAGCUCUACAUAGAGGGUCUUUGCUGCUGCAGAGAGAGAAAGUCACAAAAUCAGUAAAAUGUCCUGAUUUUAAAAGAAAACUGAAAACGUAACUUUUUAGAUUUGCUUUUAACUAAAUUUUUAUAUCAUUAACUUUGUUGAGGUGUUUUAGCAUUUAUAUCUUCUGAC
Molecule: non-coding RNA, 3851 nt
Organism: Xyrichtys novacula (pearly razorfish)
Lineage: Eukaryota; Metazoa; Chordata; Actinopteri; Labriformes; Labridae
Source: the annotation of a GenBank genome assembly